This 70-nucleotide transfer RNA is filed under the name Cellvibrio sp. PSBB006. RNAcentral describes it as "tRNA-Met". The record is from RNAcentral. Lineage: Bacteria; Pseudomonadati; Pseudomonadota; Gammaproteobacteria; Cellvibrionales; Cellvibrionaceae.
GGCCAGCAUGGACAGAUACACAGUUCUCAUAAUGCUGGGGUCGGCGGUUCAAGUCCGCCUCUAGCUACCA